This 464-nucleotide ribosomal RNA is filed under the name uncultured bacterium. Its description in RNAcentral is "bacterial SSU rRNA". It matches the Rfam family "Bacterial small subunit ribosomal RNA", at positions 338 to 795 of the family's 1533-position model. The record is from RNAcentral.
CCUACGGGCUGCAGCAGUGGGGAAUAUUGCACAAUGGGCGCAAGCCUGAUGCAGCCAUGCCGCGUGUAUGAAGAAGGCCUUCGGGUUGUAAAGUACUUUCAGCGGGGAGGAAGGUGUUGUGGUUAAUAACCGCAGCAAUUGACGUUACCCGCAGAAGAAGCACCGGCUAACACCGUGCCAGCAGCCGCGGUAAUACGGAGGGUGCAAGCGUUAAUCGGAAUUACUGGGCGUAAAGCGCACGCAGGCGGUCUGUCAAGUCGGAUGUGAAUCCCCGGGCUCAACCUGGGAACUGCAUUCGAAACUGGCAGGCUAGAGUCUUGUAGAGGGGGGUAGAAUUCCAGGUGUAGCGGUGAAAUGCGUAGAGAUCUGGAGGAAUACCGGUGGUGAAGGCGGCCCCCUGGACAAAGACUGACGCUCAGGUGGGAAAGCGUGGGGGGCAAACAGGAUUAGAUACCCCCGUAGUC